Molecule: long non-coding RNA, 1540 nt
Organism: Pezoporus flaviventris
Lineage: Eukaryota; Metazoa; Chordata; Aves; Psittaciformes; Psittacidae
Exons: 4
Source: RefSeq, a predicted model, not a curated record
UUGCAGAGACCCUAGGGAAAGCGAAUGUUCACAUGCAUGCGAUGAAGCUGCAUCACAACAGCUGCAGGUUUAAGCAGUCCUUUCUGCUCUUGCAACAUAAUCAGGCGCAUAACUGUCUGACACUGCCACUAAACCAGGUUCCUGAGGUAUGAAACACUAGAAUAGAAACAGGCUUGAUGGGGGACACACAGCUAAACAGAAGAAACCACGCAGAUGGAAAUGCAGCUCCCAUGGUGGAGGCUGGCAUCCUGUCAAUCUACUGCAGGGCCAAACUUUUGCCUGUCGCUGCAGCAGAAAGAAACAAAGACAACAACAAGGAAUGUUGAGCCACAUUAAUGCAAGGUGUGUCUCCAUUUAAUGCUGGGCUUUCACCAAGGAUAAAUUUCACCGGCAGCAUUUUGGGGAAACUGAAGGCACCUAUCUUAUUGCAGAAAUCCCACAUCUGCACAAAAACAAGUAAAACAAUUGAAAGCUAUAGAUUUUUUUAUCCUUUUCAGGCUUAAGUGGCAGAACAGAGAGACACUUCCUACAUUUAUUUUGUUAGGAUGUCUUGCCUGGCUUCUCCUAGGGACUGAACAAAGACCGGAUGUGCGUCUUGUCUUUUGAAUGAUUGGCAGACCGUGAGGUUAGACAAGUCUAUUUAGAGACAGUCAUAACCCCAGAAUAAGCGAUCUUGGAAAAUACACUGACUUUGUAGUGAUAUGUACCUCCCUUUCCCCUGAGUACCCUUCUAUUCCAGUGAUUGCUGACAGAAAAAAGAACCAUCUAGAUAAAAAGGUUCAGAAUAGAACUCUGGAAAUUCUGAUGAAGCAUGAAAGUAUUGUGCUUCAAGAUUCUGGACUGAGGAGAGUACACUCUGUGCACAGUGAAAUGUUUGGAGGAAAAAAGGAACAAAAGAAGGCAAACCCUGGUAUUAAAGCUAUAAGAACUAUUUACUGUGCAUCAAGUUAACUGUAUUCUAACAACCACAGUGAACUCAUUUGCAAUGGCAUAUAUAAACCCAAAUGUUAACCAGGAAAGAUAUGGGAGGAGGGAAGUGGCAAUGUGCGAGUACAACCACAAAUUGCAUCAUCAGUCACAGUGGUGAAGGUGACAGGCAGGGAACAGUCAAAAACGAGCAAGGAGAGCAGUGCAGCAUGCUUAAUACUCCUUAUACCAGUACUGCUGCCAGGGCAGGUUUUGACAGUGCCAGGGACAGGAAAGUUGAGAGGAAAAAAAGUAGUGGGUAGAAAGAUCUUGCUCAUAUGGAUGAAUUCUUUCCGGGCCAAGCUUUUGCUUGAAAGCAGUGGGGAGAGGAAAACCACUUAGAAUGGGUCCAGCUCAGUCAGAAGCAUGUAAAAUAUAAUGAAAAUUUUGCAGAAUUAAUAUUUCAUUCCCUUAAUUAGUUUUAGGGGAAUACAAACCUUGUGCUUAUAAUUUGCAUUGGCCUGUGCACCUCUUGCUGCUAACAGAAACAAGCAUCCCAGUGUGGAAGUUCUUCCUCACUGAUUUCACUCUGAGACAGAAGCAUUUUGUACUGAUGUCUGAAUUUAUCCAAACU